This is a long non-coding RNA of Brassica napus (rape), 4563 nucleotides long. RefSeq lists it as uncharacterized. NCBI's taxonomy places the organism in Eukaryota, Viridiplantae, Streptophyta, Magnoliopsida, Brassicales, Brassicaceae. The transcript has 4 exons. The record is from RefSeq and is a predicted model, not a curated record.
AAAGGACAUGCUUUCUCUUCCCGAUUCUGCCAACAAAAAGUCUAUCGUCCUAGAGAGUUAUUACAGUGAUUUGAGCAUGGCGGUGAUGGGAAGGCCACAAGCAAAACAGCAGAUCGAUCAUGUGAGUUUGAUCUUAUCCAAAUUCCCAAAAAAAAAAAAUUGUUCUUCAGGGAAAAAAUAUUGUUCCAUGCUGUAAUUGAUGUAUUCUCAUAAACGUUGAAGCAAUGUUUUUUUAGUUGCUAGGAAACUUGCUGUGACCAAAACCUUCAUUUUGUCAGGUCACCAGCUCUUGCUCCACCAGAGGUUCACAUCGACGUUGCCGAGCAGCAGAAGAACGAAGCUGAUCUCAUUGGCGCCGCAGCUCAGCCUCUCCCAGAUGAUGAUGAUGACGCUUUUGAGUAAACAAAAGAUAUUCCAAGAUGUAUUUCUGCCGUGAGAUGCCGUUUUGCUUUUGCUGAUUCUCUUCUUUGUUAUGAUGUUUUAGAACUAAUAUUGGGGGAGUAUUGAAAUUUUUCAAAAAAAAUGCCUUUAGUUGCUAGAGCUUCAAGAAAAUAGAAUCACGAUGCCAUUGAUGGUGCUAUUGUUGAAAUACUUGCUGACCCCAAAGAGGCAAGAGCUGGUAACUGGUAAUAGAUAGAUUCACUUCUUCCGAUUCAAUCCAGUAGACUUAUAUUGAUGGUAAUGGAGACUGGUACCAAGUAGGCAAGGAGAGCUCUAGAACAGAGCUGAUCUGUAGAAGAGAGACCACUUAGCAAUCGAAGUACGCUGUGCGUGGACUGAGUUCAUUAGCUGGUGGAAGACGGACUGUGCCUGAGAAAACAUAAAAAGAAAAGAAGAACCACUGAUGGUCCAUGGGAAUUUGUUGGUGGGUUGCCUUUGUUUGAUACUCCACGACAAGAUAGUGCAUACACCAUUAGUGCUUUUAAGACCCCGGUGUCAACAUCCAUCACUGUUGAUCAACUUGCUAUUGCCAAAGAGACUCAACCUAAGCUCGGUAUGGGAUCAAACAUGAUCUAUAGCAUCAGCUUCUCUACUUGGAUAAGAGAGGCAUCCGAGGGAGUUUAGGCAACCCAAGUGGGCUUUUUCUAAUCUCUUGCUUCCAAGAGGUUACGUCACCAGGACAGCAAGAUUGCGCAAGUUAUUAUCAGUCAGGUCCGUUGUUCGGACAGAUCCAUCUGGGUCACAGGUCAUGGAAGCAAUGCAGCGGAGUACCAGGAUUGUGGUAUGUCUACAGGGUUUAUAAUGAGCGAUUCGCCAUGGGAAUCUAAUAUUGAAGUUGGUUCUCCACAAGCAAGGAAUGAAGCUAAAUUGAGAUACAAAGAGAAGAAAAUCAAGCACACAUGAGUUUUAUUUUCUUUUCUUAUUAAAAAACGUUACAAAACAGAGUUUUACAAAAUUUUGAUUCAAGAUUAAUUGUUUGAGUUGUAGUUUUGGGAAACAAAUUCGAUAUGCAUCUCACAAGCGAGAGCUGACACGAGAAAAAUAGUGAAAGGAAGAUUCGUGAAAGCUGGUGACAAAAUAUGACUAUGACGCAUCAUCACCAACCCACAAAAUCAAUGAGUUUUCUCUUUCCCUAAAACAAUGUAUGUCUUAUUCUCAUGAUGAUGAUAUAUGAUUAAUCUUGUACUGUUGCGGCAUGAAAACAUUGGAGACCUGCACAAGGAAUGUUUAGACAUAGUGAAAGUGACGAAUUGGAUGAAAAACCAAUCUUUUUUUUUAAUUGAGCUCGUCAUUUUUUAUUUUCUUUUUAAUGUUUAUUGGCUUUUUGUAAUAGGAAAAAAAUCCUAAUUACUAUGUUUAUUAAUAACUUUUCUAGCUUUUUUGAUAAAUAAAGUAUCAGGAAUUACAAUCUUAGUUCAUUAUUUAUCUUUCUCGAUAAGAUAUUGUAUGAUUUCAAAUGUUCGUUUUAAAACACAAGUAAUGACUAAUUAAAAAUUAACUAAAAAAAUCUACCAAAUUUGGGAAAAUGAACAUUAGUUUCAAAUAACACAACAUCGAAUAAAUACCACAAAACAGACUAUUCCGCUACAAGCCUACAACAACAAAAAUCAUACAGAACACCGAAACACAUAUUCUGGUACAACAUCAAAAAUCAUACACAACACAAAACACAUAAAAUAAUCACACGUCAAUAGCCAACUUCAAACCUAUAAAAAUGCAAAUACUGACAAAUCAAAGACCAUAUCAAAACUCGGCAUCAUCUUCAAAUAUACAUUUAAAUAUUUAUACAUAGCUACAAUUACAUCACCAACCCCGCGCUUGCGCGGGGGUUAAACUCCUAGUUUUAAUUAAUGUGUAAGCUGAAUAUAUUCAUCUAGAUUAUGUUAAGAAUUCUAUAGUCUAAUUAUUAUGGUUUUCCUGUCAGUUAACAUAUAAAAUGUAUUUGAAAAACAGUAAAACAUGGUAUAAUUUUUCAUAUUUGUAACUGAAUUUGUUCCUACUGAUGACACUUUUAUAUUAUUUUUAUUACAAAUAAUUUGAAUUUUAAAGAAUGUAAAGAUAAAAAAAAUUGUUUGUUUUGCAUCUAAUUUUUUAAUAACUGAAAUACCAAUAUGUUUCACUCAUAUUUCCUCGAUUAUUUUAACUAUAUCCUAAUGAUAAAUAACAUCAAUUACUUAAUAAACCCAUAUUUCACAUAAAACGAUGAAUAAAAUUUAUCUGUACCACCAAGAAAUACAAUGUUUAUAUAUGUGUUCCUAAAUAAAAAAAUAUAGUCUUUGUACAACAAGUCAGAUACAAAGAAUAACCACAUAUUUGAAUAAUCAUCCAUGCCAACUACAUUAAGUUAAUAAAAACAAUUUAUAUUCAAGGUUAAAGUUAUGUUUCAAAUUUAUAUCACUUUUUGUGGUUACGUAUGAGAUUACAUUAAAAUGUAUGAGAUUACAUUAAAUGUAGAGUACACCAAAAUCAGUUACUUCAAAAAAGAAGAAGAACGAAGCAAUGCUUAAUUAGACCAGCAGUUGCCAUCCCAAAUGAUUGCAAUGCUUCGGAAAUAAUUGCAAUGCUUCGACUAUUAUUUAAGUGAUUAAUCAUUGACAUUCUCCUUUCACUCAAAACUCGUAACAACAAUAAACUACUGUGACACUGUUUUGAAUAUUUGAAUAAUUCACUCCACAACAAAACUAAUAUUGUUCAUAGACACUCGCAAUAACAUGGUUGCAACCAGUUUUUUCUCAAACCGAUUUAAAAUCCUAAAAGGGUCAGACAUGGCUAUCUUAGAGUUUUCAUAUUCUGAAAACAAAGAUCUGGAGAAAGAUAAUUGUAAGCACAAAAUAAUAUUCGCUUGAUUCGAAAAUGGGGGAAAAAUAGAAGAAGGGGGCACUUUUCUCUGAGACAAAAAAUGUAGCUUUUGAAUGAAAUUGUAAGCCUUUAGUAGUUGCUACAAAUUGUUUUUGAUAUAUUUUCAAAAAAUAUCCAUUUUAGUUAUGUGAAAGGAGAACUAAUAAAAGGUUCAAUAAAUAAUCGUCUUAUUUAUUACAAGGAUUUCAUCAAAGAAUGAUCUAUUUACCAUAUUAGUAACUUUGAUGUUGAUGAAAAAAAAGACUACUAAUGGUCACAGACUUUCUAUUCAACUCACUCAUCAUACAAUUGCACCAGAAGUAUUAGACGAUGUACCUCAAAUUGAGAAAACAAAAUUUAGAAUCCAUGGGUAUAAAAAGUUGCUAAUGUUAGCCAACACAAAUCAUAUUUUACCAGGUAUUUCUUUUUUUUUUAAAGUGUCAAAGUUUUGUUUUAGUUGUUAUCAUAUUAAUGGCAAUAACAAUGAAGCAGAUGUUGUUGAAAGAGUUACUUAUGUUUGGGGGUCAAAAGUACGAAAAAAUAACUCAAUACGUAAGAUUAUGGCCAGCUACGUUCUUCAAGAGUAUGUGUUCUAUCAUAUGCAUUUUAAAAUUAUUAUUUCUUUAACAAAAUAAUUUUAUCUUAUCUUCAGUUACACCAGAACAAAAAUUUGAGUAUCAAAUUGGGACAAUAUUGCUGCAGAUUUUUGGUCAUUUCUCUCCAAAACCCAAAGGAAGAAACGUAUUGUCGUCGUAACAUCAGUUAGACCAAAAUGAUUAACUAUUUUUUCCCAAAAAUUUGAGAACCUUACUAAAUGAUUUUUGUUUGAAUAGAAUCACUUUAUUUAAUUAGACACUUCACUUGCUACAAAAUUUUAUACAAACACCGAUUUAAAGAGGAUUCGUAAUUUCAGGUUAAUUUGUAAUAUAAUGAUAAUAAGUUUACUAAUGAUAAUACAUAAUGUUCGGACCUAUAGUCAAAUUUCUGACUGUUUAUAUGUAGGCAAAUAGUGAAUGAGAAUCAUAAUUCUCCUCUCAAAGAGCAUGAUUUAAAUGAGGAAUAAAAUCUUUUUCCCAAAUAUUGACAUUUAGAGACGUUGAAGUUCCUCAGGUAUUAGUACUCAAUAAUAAACACAAAACUAUAUAUGUGGUUUUCUAAUAAUUCAACUUAUAUUGCAAAGUUGUCAAAUUAUGAAAUGAUGUGUCUUUCUAUAAUUAUGUGUCUUUUUAACAUAUAACCAUUAAAAAGUUGUGAAUAUAUAUAUAUAUGUGUGUGUGUCUGUCU